RNAcentral lists this ribosomal RNA (756 nucleotides) under Triticum aestivum (bread wheat). RNAcentral describes it as "partial small subunit ribosomal RNA". The record is from RNAcentral. Lineage: Eukaryota; Viridiplantae; Streptophyta; Magnoliopsida; Poales; Poaceae.
AUGGUCGAGUUCUACGCACCCUGGUAUGGCCACUGCCGCGCGCUCGCGCCUCACUACGCCGCUGCCGCCAGCCUCGCCAAGCAGGGGAUCAACGUCGCGCUGGCCAAGGUGGACGCCAUCGAGGACCAUGACCUGGCGCAGGCGCACGAUGUGCAGGGCUACCCCACCCUCCUCUUCUUCAUCGGCGGCGUGCCUAGGGACUACUCCGGCGAGAGGACCAAGGACACCAUCGUGGCUUGGGUCGGCAAGAAGCUGGGCCCUGUGGUGCAGAACGUCACAACUGUCGAUGAGGUCGAGAAGGUCGUCACCAGCGACGACGUGGCCGUGCUCGCCUACCUCCACCACCUCUCGGCUCCUCUUUUCUGCUACUUCCAUGCAACGGUGGUGGCGGUGGUGCUGUUUGGCAUUGGCUACAAAAACACCCAAGGUUGUUCACCCAAGUGCUGCGCCUUUAGGGUCAACCCCACGGUGAAUUUAGAUGGCGGUCAUUUGGUAACCCCGUUUGAAAUUCUGAACAGAUGUUUUCAAGCGGGUUUUGUUUAUGAUAGCCAUGGAGCAGGAAAAACUGACAUGCUACUAAAGCUAAGAUGUAUAGCUAAUUCUUUACGUAUCUUUAUAACAUUGAAGAGCUCUUUAGUCCUGCCAGGACAAGGUUAUGAGAAGAUAUGCUGCUGGAAAGAUGCUCUUAGAAAACUGGAAGGGUUGCAACCAAAUCCAAUCGACAACAUGGCAGUGGUCUCUGAAUAUCUAAGCUAG